UACGUAGGGGGCAAGCGUUGUCCGGAUUUAUUGGGCGUAAAGAGCGUGUAGGCGGCCUGACAGGUCAGUUGUGAAAACUCGAGGCUCAACCUCGAGACGUCGGUUGAAACCAUCUGGCUAGAGUCCGGAAGAGGAGUGUGGAAUUCCCGGUGUAGCGGUGAAAUGCGCAGAUAUCGGGAAGAACACCCGUGGCGAAGGCGGCACUCUGGGACGGUACUGACGCUGAGACGCGAAAGCGUGGGGAGCGAACAGG
This 253-nucleotide ribosomal RNA is filed under the name uncultured bacterium. Its description in RNAcentral is "partial 16S ribosomal RNA". It matches the Rfam family "Bacterial small subunit ribosomal RNA", at positions 524 to 776 of the family's 1533-position model. The record is from RNAcentral.